UACGUAGGGGCAAGCGUUAUCCGGAUUUACUGGGUGUAAAGGGAGCGCAGACGGCAGUGCAAGUCUGAUGUGAAAGCCCACGGCUUAACCGUGGAGGGUCAUUGGAAACUGGUCGACUUGAGUGCAGAAGAGGGAAGUGGAAUUCCAUGUGUAGCGGUGAAAUGCGUAGAGAUAUGGAGGAACACCAGUGGCGAAGGCGGCUUCCUGGUCUGUAACUGACACUGAGGCGCGAAAGCGUGGGGAGCAAACAGGAUUAGAUACCCCGGUA
This 268-nucleotide ribosomal RNA is filed under the name uncultured prokaryote. Its description in RNAcentral is "partial 16S ribosomal RNA". It matches the Rfam family "Bacterial small subunit ribosomal RNA", at positions 524 to 792 of the family's 1533-position model. The record is from RNAcentral.